This 219-nucleotide ribosomal RNA is filed under the name Pseudomonas sp. ATCC 13867. Its description in RNAcentral is "partial 23S ribosomal RNA". It matches the Rfam family "Bacterial large subunit ribosomal RNA", at positions 805 to 1023 of the family's 2925-position model. The record is from RNAcentral. Lineage: Bacteria; Pseudomonadati; Pseudomonadota; Gammaproteobacteria; Pseudomonadales; Pseudomonadaceae.
UGACUUGUGGAUCGGAGUGAAAGGCUAAUCAAGCUCGGAGAUAGCUGGUUCUCCUCGAAAGCUAUUUAGGUAGCGCCUCACGUAUCACUCCAGGGGGUAGAGCACUGUUUCGGCUAGGGGGUCAUCCGACUUACCAAACCGAUGCAAACUCCGAAUACCUGGAAGUGUCAGCGUGGGAGACACACGGCGGGUGCUAACGUCCGUCGUGAAAAGGGAAAC